CCGAAACUAUAAUUCACGAGAACUUGGU
Molecule: small RNA, 28 nt
Filed under: Bombyx mori (domestic silkworm)
Lineage: Eukaryota; Metazoa; Arthropoda; Insecta; Lepidoptera; Bombycidae
Description: ovarian small RNA-13750
Source: RNAcentral